GCGGUGAGCGUCUGGCCUUGGCCUUGGCCC
Molecule: non-coding RNA, 30 nt
Filed under: Homo sapiens (human)
Lineage: Eukaryota; Metazoa; Chordata; Mammalia; Primates; Hominidae
Source: RNAcentral